CGGAGACUGCAAGCGUUAUUCGGAUUCACUGGGCGUAAAGGGUGCGCAGGCGGCCAAGUGUGUUAGGCGUGAAAGCCCGGGGCUUAACCCCGGAAUUGCACCUAAAACUACAUGGCUAGAGCAUUGGAGAGGGUAGCGGAAUUCACGGUGUAGCAGUGAAAUGCGUAGAUAUCGUGAGGAACACCAGAGGCGAAGGCGGCUACCUGGACAAUUGCUGACGCUCAGGCACGAAAGCGUGGGGAGCAAAAGGGAUUAGAUACCCCUGUAGUCCACGCCCUAAACGGUGCACACUAGGUCUUGGCGGAUUCGACCCCACCAGGGCCCAAGCUAACGCGUUAAGUGUGCCGCCUGAGGACUACGGUCGCAAGACUA
This 372-nucleotide ribosomal RNA is filed under the name uncultured organism. RNAcentral describes it as "bacterial SSU rRNA". It matches the Rfam family "Bacterial small subunit ribosomal RNA", at positions 526 to 896 of the family's 1533-position model. The record is from RNAcentral.